AUGACGAGCUCCGCCUCCUCCUCCCCUUCCCGCAAGGUGCUGAGCAAGAUCGCGUGCCUCCGGCUGCAGAAGGAGCUCGGCGAGUGGCAGGCCAGCCCUCCCGGCGGCUUCACCUACAAGGUCUCCGACAACCUCCAGCGGUGGGUCAUCGAGGUGUCGGGGGCAGAGGGGACGCUCUACGCCGGCGAGACGUACCGGCUGCAGGUUGACUUCCCGGAGCAGUACCCCAUGGAGGCUCCACAGGUUAUAUUUAUGCAUCCGGCGCCGAUGCAUCCGCACAUUUACAGCAAUGGGCACAUCUGUCUAGAUAUAUUGUAUGACUCAUGGUCACCAGCAAUGACGGUCAGUUCCGUGUGCAUCAGCAUCUUGUCCAUGUUGUCAAGUUCACCAGCUAAGGAACGCCCAUCUGAUAACGAUCGCUAUGUCAGGAACUGCCGCAACGGGAGGUCGCCGAAGGAAACGAGGUGGUGGUUUCAUGAUGACAAAGUGUGA
This 492-nucleotide ribosomal RNA is filed under the name Triticum aestivum (bread wheat). Its description in RNAcentral is "partial small subunit ribosomal RNA". Lineage: Eukaryota; Viridiplantae; Streptophyta; Magnoliopsida; Poales; Poaceae. The record is from RNAcentral.